Musca domestica (house fly) is the source of this 847-nucleotide long non-coding RNA. RefSeq lists it as uncharacterized. The record is from RefSeq and is a predicted model, not a curated record. The transcript is spliced from 3 exons. NCBI's taxonomy places the organism in Eukaryota, Metazoa, Arthropoda, Insecta, Diptera, Muscidae.
UCGUAUACCAGGCGCACAAAACGCACUGGCAGUGGCCGCAUUGUUACAGUUGGAUGAAUGCUCUUAUUGGCUGUCUGCUGUUGCAUUUUUCGGCUUCGGUUUGUAGUUCACUAUUGAUUGCUGGCUCCUCGUACGUAUGGCUGGGCAAAAACAACAAACACGUACACAGAACCUCUUCAGCUGCUGACUGGUUUGUUAGCACUUGUGUCGAAGGGGGGUUUUUAUUUGCUUGUGCUACAGCGCUACGGGCUGGUUAUUGAGCGAGUCACAAUGUGUUCUGCUGUUUUGUUUAUUUUGUGUGUGAAGCGAGGUGAGGCGUCGAGUCGUUCGUUGUAUUUUGGUUGGAUGUGAAUCAGAAGCAGCAGCAGUCAGCAAACCAUGUCAUUUUCUUUGAGGGGGAAUGAAUGGCUGGAUGGAUGGGCUAACAAGGUUGAAAAAUGUAUUGAUACAUUUCAAUGUUCGCGCGUCACAACAAAUGUAAAGAAAAAAGAUAAACUUAAAAACUAAAGAAAAACUAAUAUUUGUCGUGCAAAAAACAAAAAGAGAAAAUAUGGAGCAACUGAUGUAUUCACUUUUGAAUGAUUCCAGGAGUGAAGAGGACUGGCUGAAUGAGGAAUGAGACGAAGAAAACGUAUUGGAAAACAGUGCAAAAUUAGUGAAAGGUUGGCUGUCUUCCCAACUUGUAGCAUUAAGUCUUCUAGCAGACUUAACAUUAAUUUAACCGGCGCCUCCAACCAUGUCAGCUUCUCCGGGGUUGGGAUUUGAGAAAACUCCACCUCUAAAUACUCUUCAACGCAUUCUGAAAACAAAACUUUCUAAAUAAACAGCAUUCAAAAAUAAUUAUUAA